This 497-nucleotide ribosomal RNA is filed under the name uncultured bacterium. Its description in RNAcentral is "partial 16S ribosomal RNA". It matches the Rfam family "Bacterial small subunit ribosomal RNA", at positions 28 to 507 of the family's 1533-position model. The record is from RNAcentral.
GAUGAACGCUGGCGGCGUGCCUAAUACAUGCAAGUCGAGCGAACGGACGAGAAGCUUGCUUCUCUGAUGUUAGCGGCGGACGGGUGAGUAACACGUGGAUAACCUACCUAUAAGACUGGGAUAACUUCGGGAAACCGGGGCUAAUACCGGAUAAUAUUUUGAACCGCAUGGUUCAAAAGUGAAAGGCGGUCUUGCUGUCACUUAUAGAUGGAUCCGCGCUGCAUUAGCUAGUUGGUAAGGUAACGGCUUACCAAGGCAACGAUGCAUAGCCGACCUGAGAGGGUGAUCGGCCACACUGGAACUGAGACACGGUCCAGACUCCUACGGGAGGCAGCAGUAGGGAAUCUUCCGCAAUGGGCGAAAGCCUGACGGAGCAACGCCGCGUGAGUGAUGAAGGUCUUCGGAUCGUAAAACUCUGUUAUUAGGGAAGAACAUAUGUGUAAGUAACUGUGCACAUCUUGACGGUACCUAAUCAGAAAGCCACGGCUAACUACGUG